UUCCUCCGAUGCGUGGGUGCUGGAGAAAUACGACACUGUCCCCGAUGACAUGAAGAUCGAAAACAAUGGACACUCAGCCAAGGUUGCGUGGACCGUGACGAACACCACAGACCUUCCCUCCGUGAGCGGCGGAGAGUUGGGCGGAAAAUACACCUUCGCCCAGUUCCAUUUCCACUGGGGCAGCAUCAGCACACAGGGCUCGGAACAUACCAUCAAUGGAAUCGCAUACGCUGCCGAGCUUCAUCUGGUGCACUUCAAGACUGAGUAUGGUUCUCGG
This 277-nucleotide long non-coding RNA is filed under the name Penaeus japonicus. Its description in RNAcentral is "uncharacterized LOC122256193". The record is from RNAcentral. Lineage: Eukaryota; Metazoa; Arthropoda; Malacostraca; Decapoda; Penaeidae.